GCCAUGCGCCCACAGGGGGCGUGGCCCCCAGCGCGCGCGGGAAAGGGGCCGGCGUCGCGUGCGCGCGCACAGUCGGCGGCCGCGCGCAGCACGCUCGGGGCCCGGAUGGCGGCGGCGGCGGCUGGAAGCGGGACGCCCCGGGAGGAGGAGGGGCCCAGUGGGGAGGCAGCGGCUCCGCAGCCCCAUGCCCCGACGAGUGCGCCCGGGGCUCGUCUCUCAAGGCUGCCUUUAGCGCGAGUGAAGGCUUUGGUGAAGGCGGACCCCGACGUGACCCUCGCGGGACAGGAAGCCAUCUUCAUUCUAGCACGAGCCGCGGAACUGUUUGUGGAGACCAUUGCAAAAGAUGCCUACUGCUGUGCUCAACAAGGAAAGAGGAAAACCCUCCAGAGGAGAGAUUUGGAUAAUGCAAUAGAAGCUGUGGAUGAAUUUGCUUUUCUGGAAGGGCAGAGCAAGAAUUAUUUUAGGUUUGCAUGGUCAAGGCCAAUGCCCAGAGCUGGUCCUGGUAGAGGUCAAUCCUCUGGUUUGGGGACGGGAGUUGCUCACUAUCAAGCUUGCUGCCAUCUUCCGAAGAAUCUACCUUGUGGGUGCCUGAACCAUGGCAACUGGGAGAGCCAUGCUCAAUUCGGAAGCCCAGGUCAGGCCAGCCAUGGUGGCCACGAUUUUUCAUUUCUUGAGCUCAAUCUAUUAUUUGUGUAUAUGUGUGUGUGUAUAUAAUAUUAUAUGUAGCACAUAUAUUUUAUAUAUGUAUUUGGAUGGCGAGUUCGUGUAGGUGAAUGAAGGUAGACACUGUAUUGUGUUACAGUCUCAUCUGAAAUCAGGGAUAUGUAAUCUUAUGCUUUUCAUUCAUUUAUUUAUUAGUUCAAAAAAGUAUUUAUUAAAUGUUUAAAAGUGCACAACACUGUACUAAGAAGGAAGUUGGGGUGCAGGGUACAGAAAGGUAAAAAGACCAAGUGCCCUGUCUUCAAGGAGCUCGGAAUUUAUGGGAGAGACAGGCAUGUAACAUCACGUUUUACACCUGACAAAAAUCAUCAAAAGAGAGGUAUAAAUCAGGUAACAUGAGCAUUUUGGUGAGGAAAGGAUCCAUUCUCUCCAUGGGGAUGAGGGACCAUGCCCCUGAAGAGAUAACCUUUGAGGUAGCCUUGAAGGAGGAAUAGAAUUUCACUUUAACAUUUACAAAAAUAAUUAGUCUUGGCAGCAAAGCUCUUAACGAUUUGUAUUUGUAUGGUGGUUCCCGCUGAGCAGCCUCACGCACUUUAUCUUAUUUAAUUGGAACAAUAACUUUGCAAGGUUAAGUAAGAGGAUAUUACUAUUAUUUUUUUAAGGUCAAAUUGAGGCUUAGAGAACUUUUAUGACUUGCCUCAGGUGACCUAUUAUUUAGUCAGGGGAGGAGGGAGUGCAGAUAUGCAGCCAGUAUCUUCUAUCUGCACGUACUUUGAGAGCCCUUUCCCCUCCCGCCAGCGCUUUUCCAGAGGCGCAUUCCAGGAAUUUGUCCAUCCCUGGUCACUCAUAACCUUCCUAACCAGCCUAAGCGACCAUCGAUGGUUCUCAAAGUGUGGUCCCCACCCCAGCAGCAUCCACGUCACCUGGAACCCUGUUAGAAAUAUAAAUUCUCCUCAGCAAUCUUGGCAGUCGUGUUUUAACAAGGUUUCCAGGUGAUUCUGCUGCAUGUUCAAAUGUGAGAGCCCCUGGCAUAGGGCAUCUAAGUAACACAACUUUUAGGAUUCUCUUAAAAUAGAAUGAAACAUGAGGACUGCUUCUGUAAAAAAAAAAAAAAAAAAAAAAAAAAAAAAAACCUAAUUAAUCCUUACAGUGUCAGAAAUUACGGCAAAUUGUGUUUUCCUUUUCCUUGUUUGGGGAUUUUUAUUGAGCGAGGUCAUGAGACAUUGGGCUGGAAUAAAUUUGGUAGUAAAACUGCAUACACUUCUUCCUCAUUGAGAAAACCGAGAUACAUUCGAAGCCACAGGGAACGUGGGACGUAGUCUGCAAAAGUCAAGGCCUCCCAGAGCUGAAAUACAAGGUCAUAUAUUACUUCAGAACACAAUGGGAUGGGUUUCUGAUAAGGGUUACCCGCAAAAGGGGGCCCAACCCCCAAUAACUUGUGAAUCUGCUCUUGAGAGCAUGCAGGUCUAAAGAAAUUCAGCUGAGAAAUGGGAGAAAUCCUGGUGUCAUGACAUUUCAUUCUUUUGAAUACUUUGUGAGAAAAAAAACAGAGGGAUGAGGGUAUUCUGUUACCAUGGCAACCUGGAGAGGCCCAGGCUGGGGGAUGAUACCGAGGAGCUGACAAAGCUUGGCAUCCUGAUUCUAGAUGAGAAAAAUGGGGCUGUGGAGGCCUGGAGAUUGGGUCAGAAUGAAUAUUCUUUUAUUCCUGCAUAGUUCUGCCACACUGCCUGAUUUAAAAAAAUAAUCCAUUAAAUUAAACAGCUUGCACAGUGACUGUGAUUGAUGAACACCUAAUGGAGUAUUCCCUCUACCUAGAAGGCCCUCCACUUUGUUUGGUUUCUACCCUCCUUCACUGCAGAGCUCCCAUCCUGCUUUCUGAAGGCAGUCUUUCUCAUGGACUGGCCUGGAACCCCAGACCUGCAAGGCGUGCCCCCAUGCCUUUUGUCUUGCUUCCCAGUGUUUGUUUAUAACACAGAAACCAUCCCCUUCAGCGGGUUGAAAGUGCUGCUUCAGAGUCUAAAUAGUGACAAUGUCUCUAAUCUUUUUUCCCCUCUUUCUUUUAAAAUAAAAAUAGCUAACAGUUACUGAGUGCUUAUUGUAUACUAUCCCAGUGCUAUUUAAUGUGUGGUCGACCACCAGCAGUAUCAAUAUCACCUGAAAAUUUGGUAAAAAUGCAAAUUCGAGGGCCCUACCUUGGGCAAUCAGAAAUUCUAGAACUUUGGAUCCAGGAAUCUCUUUUUAAUAAGUGCCAACUUCCCACCUUAGUGAUUCUCAUACACACCAAGUUUUGAGAGUCACUGUACUAGACACAUCUAAGUCUUCACAUUUUUUUCUUCACUUAAUUUUUGUAACAACCUUUAACCUAGCAACUAGUUAUCUCCUCACACAGAUGUGGAACAGAGGCACAGAAAGUAUGAGUAAAUUGUUCAAGGUCCCCAGGGUAUAUUAUUUUCAAAGAUGUUGACCACAAUCCCUUCUACUUUUUGGAUAGGACUUUGUCACUCCUAGCAAGAAAUGGAGUCUAUUUCCGUUCUUGAAUUGAACUGGUCUGUGACUUGCCUUGACCAAUAGAAUGCAAUGAAAGUACAUGGCGUGCCUUCUGAUGGAGGCCUUAAGAUGCCUCGCAGUGUCCGUUUUCAUUUUCCUAGUACCUUGACUCCUGCGUCAAGAAGUCCAGGCUCUCCUGCUGGAGAGACAGGCCAUACAGUAAUGGGGACCAUGUGGAGAGAGACGCCACGAGGAGGAGAACCACAGUGUGCCAGCCGACAGCCCUCCCUCCCUAAGCCGGGUCCUGUGGGGAAGGCCAUCUUGUGGGAGCCACAGUAACACCACAUGGAGCAGAGCCUUGCUUGUGGAGCGCUGCCUGAUGCCCAGCCUGCAAAAUAGGACCUGGAUUCCAGUGAGGAGUGUUGCAGCAGGCAAUGUGUUUCCACGGAGCAAGCCUUAGCCAAGUGGUUCCGGUAACCGUGAGUGCCCCAGCAAAGAAAAGUGAAGGUUUGCCCUAGAUGGGCAACUGAGCCUGCCCAGCGGCACCUUGGCAUCAGCAGCAGCAGCAGAAGCAGAGAACCUUAUUAUUUCUCGAAGAGAGGACCUUGCAUGGCAUCUCUAGCAGGGCACCUUCGACAUCCUGGUUGUCAGGCGAAUGUUUGGUGGAUGAAGUUGAAUUAUCAGCUGCCAAAUCUUUAUAGGUAUAAAAUAAGCUGAAAAGACCUGCUUCCCUUUUUGAGACAGUGUUUCGGCUGUCCCCAGAUUUCUGAGGUCAAAACAGAACCGUGCUCAUCAUCAGCUGUCACAGCGUCUCUUUUUGACCAUCUGGACCAAUUCAGGUGCUGCUGUCUUUGAGAAAUAGUUAUCACCCUGUGGGACUCUUCGGCCAGAGCAAGUACUCCUCCAGGUGGUGGUUAGGGAACAAGAGGGCAAUGGGCGUGGAUCGGCGAGGAGCCACCAAAUCCCCAAGGAACAUGCACUGCCUUCCCCUUCUCCCUCCAUUCUGGCCAGUGGUCUCUUCACGCAUUAAUGUUCUCCAAAUCCGUACACUGGCAUGGCUUGGAACCGAUGGUGCUGGAAUCCAGCAGCCUUCCGGAGUUUGCUGUUCUCCCCUCCUGGCCUGGAGGCCGGAUCUGCGAGGGCAGCUGCCUCUAAGUGUAGGGACGAACUCAGGAGUCCUGCGCUGAAAGCAGCUCAAUCCAGGAGAGUGGCCUUCUCUCCUUGCUGGCUGUGCUGCUGCUCGAGAGGAAGGCCAGGAGCAAACAUCGCAACCCCUAGGAUUAGGUGCUUGGGAGAUAGGCCCUUCCGCGGCCUCAGUCCCCUUGCUCCCCGUUUCCUCAGCUGAGUCCAGGUUGCAGAGCUGAGGAGAUCUGCUCACUCGUGGACGCCUUCAUGACGCGUACCCUCUGCAGAAGGGAUGGGGGCGCAUUACCAAUGGCGCCGCCGCUCCGGAGGCUAAGCAUCUGCGGGGCAUCUGCAGGCUGCAUGUGCCCCACCCCGGGACGAAAUGAAAUGUCUUUGCCUUUCCCCAGGAAGAGCCAUACUCUGCAGCUGGCGUGACUUGUUUGCCCACAGCUCAGCUAACACAUAUUCCUCGUUUCAUGGAGACGGCCGGAGCCAUUAAGGCCAAAACGACCUGAAGGCCAGUCAUGAAGGCACAAUCCAGGACUAGACCCCAGGCUCAUGUGAAGUGGCUGUGUUGACUGAGGGUGACCCCUGAACCCUGCUGCCUCCAUCAGCGCCACCUCAGCCCAUGCUGGAUCGAUUCAAGAUGAAUAAAAACGUUUACCAAGUG
Ailuropoda melanoleuca (giant panda) is the source of this 4942-nucleotide RNA transcript. It is a transcript of the gene named DNA polymerase epsilon 4, accessory subunit, with no coding region annotated. The transcript has 11 exons. The record is from RefSeq and is a predicted model, not a curated record. Lineage: Eukaryota; Metazoa; Chordata; Mammalia; Carnivora; Ursidae.